This 784-nucleotide ribosomal RNA is filed under the name Lactococcus sp. R.M17. RNAcentral describes it as "bacterial SSU rRNA". It matches the Rfam family "Bacterial small subunit ribosomal RNA", at positions 22 to 781 of the family's 1533-position model. Lineage: Bacteria; Bacillati; Bacillota; Bacilli; Lactobacillales; Streptococcaceae. The record is from RNAcentral.
GCUCAGGACGAACGCUGGCGGCGUGCCUAAUACAUGCAAGUUGAACGCAACAAAGACACCAGAGCUUGCUCUACCGUCUUUGUUGAGUAGCGAACGGGUGAGUAACGCGUGGGUAACCUGCCUUGUAGCGGGGGAUAACUAUUGGAAACGAUAGCUAAUACCGCAUAACAAUAGAGAUUGCAUAAUCUUUAUUUGAAAGUGCCAACUGGUACACUAUGAGAUGGACCCGCGUUGUAUUAGCUAGUUGGUAGUGUAAUGGACUACCAAGGCGAUGAUACAUAGCCGACCUGAGAGGGUGAUCGGCCACAUUGGGACUGAGACACGGCCCAAACUCCUACGGGAGGCAGCAGUAGGGAAUCUUCGGCAAUGGACGAAAGUCUGACCGAGCAACGCCGCGUGAGUGAAGAAGGUUUUCGGAUCGUAAAACUCUGUUGUUAGAGAAGAAUGUUGAUUAGAGUGGAAAAUUAAUCAAGUGACGGUAUCUAACCAGAAAGGGACGGCUAACUACGUGCCAGCAGCCGCGGUAAUACGUAGGUCCCGAGCGUUGUCCGGAUUUAUUGGGCGUAAAGCGAGCGCAGGUGGUUUAAUAAGUCUGAUGUAAAAGGCAGUGGCUCAACCAUUGUGUGCAUUGGAAACUGUUAGACUUGAGUGCAGUAGAGGAGAGUGGAAUUCCAUGUGUAGCGGUGAAAUGCGUAGAUAUAUGGAGGAACACCGGUGGCGAAAGCGGCUCUCUGGACUGUCACUGACACUGAGGCUCGAAAGCGUGGGUAGCAAACAGGAUUAG